Molecule: ribosomal RNA, 435 nt
Filed under: uncultured bacterium
Lineage: Bacteria
Description: partial 16S ribosomal RNA
Rfam family: Bacterial small subunit ribosomal RNA
Source: RNAcentral
AGCGAACGCUGGCGGCAGGCUUAACACAUGCAAGUCGAGCGGGCAUAGCAAUAUGUCAGCGGCAGACGGGUGAGUAACGCGUGGGAACGUACCUUUUGGUUCGGAACAACUGAGGGAAACUUCAGCUAAUACCGGAUAAGCCCUUACGGGGAAAGAUUUAUCGCCGAAAGAUCGGCCCGCGUCUGAUUAGCUAGUUGGCGAGGUAAUGGCUCACCAAGGCGACGAUCAGUAGCUGGUCUGAGAGGAUGAUCAGCCACAUUGGGACUGAGACACGGCCCAAACUCCUACGGGAGGCAGCAGUGGGGAAUAUUGGACAAUGGGCGCAAGCCUGAUCCAGCCAUGCCGCGUGAGUGAUGAAGGCCCUAGGGUUGUAAAGCUCUUUUGUGCGGGAAGAUAAUGACGGUACCGCAAGAAUAAGCCCCGGCUAACUUCGUG